GACGAACGCUGGCGGCGUGCUUAACACAUGCAAGUCGAGCGGGGAUAGAUGCUGGAAGGUUUCGGCCGGAAGGUAUUUAUUCUAGCGGCGGACGGGUGAGUAACGCGUGAGCAAUCUGUCCCAGACAGGGGGAUAACACUUGGAAACAGGUGCUAAUACCGCAUAAGACCACGGUAUCGCAUGGUACUGAGGUAGAAGGAGCAAUCCGGUCUGGGGUGAGCUCGCGUCCGAUUAGCUAGUUGGUGAGGUAACGGCCCACCAAGGCGACGAUCGGUAGCCGACCUGAGAGGGUGAUCGGUCACAUUGGAACUGAGACACAGUCCAA
Molecule: ribosomal RNA, 325 nt
Filed under: uncultured bacterium
Lineage: Bacteria
Description: bacterial SSU rRNA
Rfam family: Bacterial small subunit ribosomal RNA
Source: RNAcentral